UACGUAGGGGCUAGCGUUAUCCGGAAUUACUGGGCGUAAAGGGUGCGUAGGCGGUCUUUCAAGCCAGAAGUGAAAGGCUACGGCUCAACCGUAGUAAGCUUUUGGAACUGUAAGACUUGAGUGCAGGAGAGGAGAGUGGAAUUCCUAGUGUAGCGGUGAAAUGCGUAGAUAUAUGGAGGAACACCAGUGGCGAAGGCGACUCUCUGGUCUGUAACUGACGCUGAGGCUCGAAAGCGUGGGGAGCAAACAGGAUUAGAUACCCUGGUAGU
Molecule: ribosomal RNA, 269 nt
Filed under: uncultured prokaryote
Description: partial 16S ribosomal RNA
Rfam family: Bacterial small subunit ribosomal RNA
Source: RNAcentral